GGUUAAGUUAAUAAGGGCGCACGGUGGAUGCCUUGGCACUAGGAGCCGACGAAGGACGUGACAAACGACGAUAUGCCUUGGGUAGCUGUAAGUAAGCGAUGAUCCAGGGAUUUCCGAAUGGGGGAACCCAACAGGUAAUACCUGUUACCUACAUCUGUUAAGGAUGUGAGGAGGAAGACGCAGUGAACUGAAACAUCUAAGUAGCUGCAGGAAGAGAAAGCAAAAGCGAUUGCCUUAGUAGCGGCGAGCGAAACGGCAGAAGGGCAAACCGAAGAGUUUACUCUUCGGGGUUGUAGGACUGCAAUGUGGACUCAAAGAUUAUAGAAGAAUGAUUUGGGAAGAUCAGCCAAAGAGAGUAAUAGCCUCGUAUUUAAAAUAGUCUUUGUACUUAGCAGUAUCCUGAGUACGGCGGGACACGUGAAAUCCCGUCGGAAUCUGGGAGGACCAUCUCCCAACCCUAAAUACUCCCUAGUGACCGAUAGUGAACCAGUACCGUGAGGGAAAGGUGAAAAGCACCCCGGGAGGGGAGUGAAAUAGAACCUGAAACCGUGUGCCUACAACAAGUUCGAGCCCGUUAAUGGGUGAGAGCGUGCCUUUUGUAGAAUGAACCGGCGAGUUACGUUAUGAUGCGAGGUUAAGUUGAAGAGACGGAGCCGUAGGGAAACCGAGUCUGAAUAGGGCGCCUUAGUAUCAUGACGUAGACCCGAAACCAUGUGACCUACCCAUGAGCAGGUUGAAGGUGCGGUAAGACGCACUGGAGGACCGAACCAGGGCACGUUGAAAAGUGCUUGGAUGACUUGUGGGUAGCGGAGAAAUUCCAAACGAACUUGGAGAUAGCUGGUUCUCUCCGAAAUAGCUUUAGGGCUAGCGUCGACAUUAGAGAUUCUUGGAGGUAGAGCACUGUUUGGGUGAGGGGUCCAUCCCGGAUUACCAAUCUCAGAUAAACUCCGAAUGCCAAUGAAUUAUGGUCGGCAGUCAGACUGCGAGUGCUAAGAUCCGUAGUCGAAAGGGAAACAGCCCAGACCACCAGCUAAGGUCCCAAAAUAAUUGUUAAGUGGAAAAGGAUGUGGGGUUGCACAGACAACUAGGAUGUUAGCUUAGAAGCAGCUAUUCAUUCAAAGAGUGCGUAAUAGCUCACUAGUCGAGUGACCCUGCGCCGAAAAUGUACCGGGGCUAAAACAAUUUACCGAAGCUGUGGAUACCUUUAUAGGUAUGGUAGGAGAGCGUUCUAUGUGUGAUGAAGGUAUACCGUGAGGAGUGCUGGAACGCAUAGAAGUGAGAAUGCCGGUAUGAGUAGCGAAAGACAGGUGAGAAUCCUGUCCACCGUAAGACUAAGGUUUCCAGGGGAAGGCUCGUCCGCCCUGGGUUAGUCGGGACCUAAGGAGAGACCGAAAGGUGUAUCCGAUGGACAACAGGUUGAUAUUCCUGUACUAGAGUAUGUAGUGAUGGAGGGACGCAGUAGGCUAACUAAAGCAGACGAUUGGAAGAGUCUGUCUAAGCAGUGAGGUGUGAAUUGAGUCAAAUGCUUAAUUCUAUAACAUUGAGCUGUGAUGGGGAGCGAAGUUUAGUAGCGAAGUUAGUGACGUCACACUGCCAAGAAAAGCUUCUAGCGUUUAAACAUACUCUACCCGUACCGCAAACCGACACAGGUAGUCGAGGCGAGUAGCCUCAGGUGAGCGAGAGAACUCUCGUUAAGGAACUCGGCAAAAUGACCCCGUAACUUCGGGAGAAGGGGUGCUGACUUUAAGUCAGCCGCAGUGAAUAGGCCCAAGCAACUGUUUAUCAAAAACACAGCUCUCUGCUAAAUCGUAAGAUGAUGUAUAGGGGGUGACGCCUGCCCGGUGCUGGAAGGUUAAGAGGAGUGCUUAGCGUAAGCGAAGGUAUGAAUUGAAGCCCCAGUAAACGGCGGCCGUAACUAUAACGGUCCUAAGGUAGCGAAAUUCCUUGUCGGGUAAGUUCCGACCCGCACGAAAGGCGUAAUGAUUUGGGCACUGUCUCAACGAGAGACUCGGUGAAAUUUUAGUACCUGUGAAGAUGCAGGUUACCCGCGACAGGACGGAAAGACCCCAUGGAGCUUUACUGCAGUUUGAUAUUGAGUGUCUGUACCACAUGUACAGGAUAGGUAGGAGUCUAAGAGAUCGGGACGCCAGUUUCGAAGGAGACGCUGUUGGGAUACUACCCUUGUGUUAUGGCCACUCUAACCCAGAUAGGUGAUCCCUAUCGGAGACAGUGUCUGACGGGCAGUUUGACUGGGGCGGUCGCCUCCUAAAAGGUAACGGAGGCGCCCAAAGGUUCCCUCAGAAUGGUUGGAAAUCAUUCGCAGAGUGUAAAGGUAUAAGGGAGCUUGACUGCGAGAGCUACAACUCGAGCAGGGACGAAAGUCGGGCUUAGUGAUCCGGUGGUUCCGUAUGGAAGGGCCAUCGCUCAACGGAUAAAAGCUACCCUGGGGAUAACAGGCUUAUCUCCCCCAAGAGUUCACAUCGACGGGGAGGUUUGGCACCUCGAUGUCGGCUCGUCGCAUCCUGGGGCUGUAGUCGGUCCCAAGGGUUGGGCUGUUCGCCCAUUAAAGCGGCACGCGAGCUGGGUUCAGAACGUCGUGAGACAGUUCGGUCCCUAUCCGUCGCGGGCGUAGGAAAUUUGAGAGGAUCUGCUCCUAGUACGAGAGGACCAGAGUGGACUUACCGCUGGUGUACCAGUUGUCUUGCCAAAGGCAUCGCUGGGUAGCUAUGUAGGGAAGGGAUAAACGCUGAAAGCAUCUAAGUGUGAAACCCACCUCAAGAUGAGAUUUCCCAUGAUUAUAUAUCAGUAAGAGCCCUGAGAGAUGAUCAGGUAGAUAGGUUAGAAGUGGAAGUGUGGCGACACAUGUAGCGGACUAAUACUAAUAGCUCGAGGACUUAUCCAA
This 2902-nucleotide ribosomal RNA is filed under the name Streptococcus pneumoniae. Its description in RNAcentral is "23S ribosomal RNA". It matches the Rfam family "Bacterial large subunit ribosomal RNA". RNAcentral also lists the same sequence under 1 other name. The record is from RNAcentral. Lineage: Bacteria; Bacillati; Bacillota; Bacilli; Lactobacillales; Streptococcaceae.